Molecule: ribosomal RNA, 253 nt
Filed under: uncultured bacterium
Lineage: Bacteria
Description: partial 16S ribosomal RNA
Rfam family: Bacterial small subunit ribosomal RNA
Source: RNAcentral
UACGUAGGGGGCAAGCGUUGUCCGGAAUCAUUGGGCGUAAAGCGCGCGUAGGCGGCCCGGUAAGUCCGCUGUAAAAGUCAAAGGCUCAACCUUUGAAUGCCGGUGGAUACUGUCGGGCUAGAGUCCGGAAGAGGCGAGUGGAAUUCCUGGUGUAGCGGUGAAAUGCGCAGAUAUCAGGAGGAACACCAAUUGCGAAGGCAGCUCGCUGGGACGUUACUGACGCUGAGACGCGAAAGCGUGGGGAGCAAACGGG